ACGGAGAGUGCAAGCGUUGUUCGGAAUUACUGGGCGUAAAGCGCACGUAGGCGGCUUGGUAAGUCUGGUGUGAAAGCCCGGGGCUCAACCCUGGAAGUGCAUUGGAUACUGCCGAGCUCGAGUUCUGGAGGGGGAAGCGGAAUUCCGAGUGUAGAGGUGAAAUUCGUAGAUAUUCGGAGGAACACCGGUGGCGAAGGCGGCUUCCUGGACAGAUACUGACGCUGAGGUGCGAAAGCGUGGGGAGCAAACAGG
RNAcentral lists this ribosomal RNA (252 nucleotides) under uncultured bacterium. Its description in RNAcentral is "partial 16S ribosomal RNA". It matches the Rfam family "Bacterial small subunit ribosomal RNA", at positions 525 to 776 of the family's 1533-position model. The record is from RNAcentral.